GGAGGCAGCGGUCCCCAGCGCAGGGGAGGACUUUGUCACACAGCCAUCCCUCUGCGGGCCUUGCUCUCUGCGGCGAACUCCCCAGUGCGCGCUGGGAGGCAGAAGCUUUCAGGAACGUACAGCCAGAGCUGCCCGAAGAGAACGGGUGGCAGGGCCCACAGGGCCCCAGCAGUGACCCAGGCCAGAGAUCUCUGUGCCGACGUUGUGGAAACCAUCCCGCUGGCGGCCACACUAGGGACCCUCCUCUGGCCUGGCUCCCAGCACCCCGCGGCCAAGCCUGGCUGAUCUGCGACUCACAUGCCAAAUGAAGAAGAAAUCAGUGCCACAACACUGUUUAUUUUCCAUCAAUCUUACUUCUAUCGCGUUGCCUCUGUGGAGGAGCAGCUUAGGGCCACUCAGUGGUUGCUCCUACCCCUUCCAUGGCCUGAGCAGCGGGAGCAGCCAACCAGCCUUCCGCACCCGACUGAGUCUUCGGGAGGGAAGUGCUGACCAGGCCCAGCGCACACUUGCUUGUCCUUGAUGAGCCUGCACCUUCAAGUUCAGCCGUCAGUCAGGAGCUGGAGCAGUGCGCCCUGAAAUCCCUCCUUGGUCACGGCCUUUCCAGCGCUGGCCUGUUCUUCUCUGCAACCUUGUCAGCAUCUCUGUGAAGUAAGACACGACCGCCCGCGGGCGCACCCAGGAAACGGUGGCACGCAUGCGCAGAACUUCCCAGGCCAGCGUCCUCCACUUCGGACCCCCUGAGGGAGCUCCACUGUUGCUGCAAGGAAUGGCGAUGUCCACGGUGUGCAGGGGAGAGUCUGUGCUCCACAGAGCGAUGGAGGGCAGGUUAGUGCAAGACGCCUCUGUGACGGGCUGGUGGUCAGCCCUGCGAUCAGUUACCACCCAAGUCUGGGCUCCUGGAAGGUUUCCUGGAGGGCUCCAGGAGGGAGGUGACUGGCAACAGCCCACUGCAGCCCAGUGCCCUGGCUGGGGAUUCACGGAGGUUAGGAUGCUGAUGUCAGCCGGGUUUUCAAUGGCACAGCGACGCGAGCUGCCAGCAGAAGCUUCUCUCAGGUGUUCCUCGGGCUCAUGAUGUGGAUGCCCUCGCUUUUCUUCUGGGGGUGUGCUGCAAGAAACUCAAGGCCUUCCUCCUCUUCCACUUGCAGGAUGCCUGGGGCUCUGGACAUGGGGACAGUUUCCCUUUAAGCUGGGACAGGAACGUGGAACAACUUUGUAUUGACCCCUCCCUGGGUAGUGUGAAACAAAGCAAGUCUCUUACAUUUUAAAAUUCAGUUCGAUGGGUAA
This is a long non-coding RNA of Mustela lutreola (European mink), 1284 nucleotides long. RefSeq lists it as uncharacterized. The transcript has 3 exons. Lineage: Eukaryota; Metazoa; Chordata; Mammalia; Carnivora; Mustelidae. The record is from RefSeq and is a predicted model, not a curated record.